Molecule: ribosomal RNA, 451 nt
Filed under: uncultured bacterium
Lineage: Bacteria
Description: partial 16S ribosomal RNA
Rfam family: Bacterial small subunit ribosomal RNA
Source: RNAcentral
GUGGGGAAUAUUGGACAAUGGGGGGAACCCUGAUCCAGCCAUGCCGCGUGUGUGAAGAAGGCCUUUUGGUUGUAAAGCACUUUAAGCGAGGAGGAGGCUACCGAGAUUAAUACUCUUGGAUAGUUGACGUUACUCGCAGAAUAAGCACCGGCUAACUCUGUGCCAGCAGCCGCGGUAAUACAGAGGGUGCAAGCGCUAAUCGGAUUUACUGGGCGUACAGCGCGCGUAGGUGGCCAAUUAAGUCAAAUGUGAAAUCCCCGAGCUUAACUUGGGAAUUGCAUUCGAUACUGGUUGGCUAGAGUAUGGGAGAGGAUGGUAGAAUUCCAGGUGUAGCGGUGAAAUGCGUAGAGAUCUGGAGGAAUACCGAUGGCGAAGGCAGCCAUCUGGCCUAAUACUGACACUGAGGUGCGAAAGCAUGGGGAGCAAACAGGAUUAGAAACCCGUGUAGUCC